GAUAAAGUAGGUGGAACUAUUCCGGCAGCUAAAUAAUUGACUAGAUCAGCGUACCAUGGUAUGACAGAUAUAGCUAAGGUGGUUUCUACUUGCAUGUCGGAGUUGUUCUCUUCCAAAGUAGCUAUGAGUUUGUCAUACGAGAAAUCAUCAUUAAUGGAUGUUCUUUCCGGUUCAAGGUUCUCAAGUCUAGAGAGGUGGUCUGCUACUACGUUCUCAGUUCCUUUCUUGUCCUUGAUUUCUAAGUCGAAUUCUUGUAGUAAC
Molecule: long non-coding RNA, 261 nt
Filed under: Lathyrus oleraceus (garden pea)
Lineage: Eukaryota; Viridiplantae; Streptophyta; Magnoliopsida; Fabales; Fabaceae
Description: Pisum sativum (pea) long non-coding RNA (PSAT_LNC003934)
Source: RNAcentral